Molecule: long non-coding RNA, 230 nt
Organism: Drosophila erecta
Lineage: Eukaryota; Metazoa; Arthropoda; Insecta; Diptera; Drosophilidae
Exons: 2
Source: RefSeq, a predicted model, not a curated record
AACGGGAAAAAAACAGCGAUUUGACAUUUUUGUGCGAGUGUAAGUUUCGAUUCCGAUCUGGCUGGUUGUCUGACGGACGUGCUGCGUCUCUUUUGUUGUGUUUUUUUUUGCGAACGAGCGAAGUGCGACAGGACCUCUGCGCCCGUAUACAAACUGAUUUUUUUUAUUGUUGCAAUGCAAUAUUCGCGGAACGAAUAACAACAUAUAUAACUCAACAUUCAAGUGCAAAG